RNAcentral lists this ribosomal RNA (393 nucleotides) under uncultured bacterium. Its description in RNAcentral is "bacterial SSU rRNA". It matches the Rfam family "Bacterial small subunit ribosomal RNA", at positions 521 to 916 of the family's 1533-position model. The record is from RNAcentral.
UAAUACGGAGGAUGCGAGCGUUAUCCGGAUUUAUUGGGUUUAAAGGGUGCGUAGGCGGAUUAAUAAGUCAGUGGUGAAAACCUGCAGCUUAACUGUAGACUUGCCAUUGAUACUGUUAGUCUUGAGUGUGGUCAAGGUAGGCGGAAUGUGUAAUGUAGCGGUGAAAUGCUUAGAUAUUACACAGAACACCGAUUGCGAAGGCAGCUUACUGGGCCAUUACUGACGCUGAUGCACGAAAGCGUGGGGAGCGAACAGGAUUAGAUACCCUGGUAGUCCACGCCGUAAACGAUGAUCACUCGCUGUUGGCGAUACACAGUCAGCGGCUAAGCAAAAGCAUUAAGUGAUCCACCUGGGGAGUACGGCCGCAAGGCUGAAACUUAAAUGAAUUGACGG